CAGCUGUGACUCUGGAUCCUGGGAGUGAUCCUGACAUCCCGGGAAUGAUCCCGGGAAGGAUCUCGCCAUCCCAGCUGUGAUCCCGGAUCCCAGGAGUGAUCCUGACAUCCUGGGAAUGAUCCCGGGACCGAUCCCACAUCCCGGGAAUGAUCCCGGCACCAAUCCCACAUCCCGGGAACGAUCCUGGGACUGAUCCCACAUCCCGGGACUGAUCCCACAUCCCGGGACUGAUCCCACAUCCCGGGAAUGAUCCCACAUCCCGGGACUGAUCCCACAUCCUGGGACUGAUCCCACAUCCCGGGACUGAUCCCACAUCCCGGCGUUUCUCCUCCCUGCUCUGCCCGCGGGAUAUUCCAGGGCUUGGUCCCUGCGAAUCCCCUGGGAAGGGGCGGGACGCCUUUCGGGGGAAAUUCCUUCAUUUCUGAGGUUUUCUGGAAUCCCCCCCUGACUCGGAUUCCCUCUGUUCCCACCCAGAUCCUCCGGCUCCGUCCCGUCCCUCGUUCCAGCAGGAUGAGAGCGGCGGAGCUCCUGCUGCUGUGUCUGCCAGCGCUCCUGGUGCAGGGCCAGUACAGCCGCUUCGAGGGCAUCACGUACCCCGAGCCAGUCCAGUACUCCCAGUACGACCAGCAGGCCGAAAUUCAGGAUUACUACGAUUACCACGAUGUCACCCCCCGAGUCCCGGAGGAGCAAUUCCGGUACCAAUCCCAGCAGCAAUCCCAGCAGGAAACCGUGCCGGCCCCGACCCCAGGUGGGUGACAGUCCCCAGGUGGGUGACAGUCCCCAGGUGGGUGGGUGACAGUCCCCAGGGGUGGGUGACAGUCCCGGGGGUGGGUGACAGUCCCCAGGUGGGUGACAGUCCCCAGGGUGGGUGACAGUCCCCAGGUGGGUGACAGUCCCCAGGGGUGGGUGACAGUCCCGGGGGUG
This 924-nucleotide long non-coding RNA is filed under the name Cyanistes caeruleus (blue tit). Its description in RNAcentral is "lncRNA (ENSCCEG00000013267.1)". Lineage: Eukaryota; Metazoa; Chordata; Aves; Passeriformes; Paridae. The record is from RNAcentral.